CCCAGUUUCAGAAGAUCUUCAGAUGACAUUGAUAUUUCAUAUAUUGAGCUCUUAUUCUAGUUUUUAGCUCAGAUGUCUUUCUACCCAAAUUCCCAUUUCGAGUUUUCAAUUUGAGUCUUCUUUUCUUCUCUAUUUUUUAUUUUUUCUUUUUUUUUCUUUCACCUAUUAUUGAUAUCUCAUCAAUCUCUAGAGUAAUGAAGCAUGAUUCUAUCAUUCUAUCAUUCUAUCAU
RNAcentral lists this long non-coding RNA (230 nucleotides) under Durio zibethinus. Its description in RNAcentral is "long non-coding RNA (DZIB_LNC002131)". Lineage: Eukaryota; Viridiplantae; Streptophyta; Magnoliopsida; Malvales; Malvaceae. The record is from RNAcentral.